GUUUAUGAAGUUUCAAAAUAUUAUAUUUUCAGUAUAAAGAAGAUAAUUAAGUUUAUCCGUAAAUAC
RNAcentral lists this transfer RNA (66 nucleotides) under Scirtothrips dorsalis. RNAcentral's name for it is "tRNA-Glu". Lineage: Eukaryota; Metazoa; Arthropoda; Insecta; Thysanoptera; Thripidae. The record is from RNAcentral.